RNAcentral lists this non-coding RNA (30 nucleotides) under Mus musculus (house mouse). The record is from RNAcentral. Lineage: Eukaryota; Metazoa; Chordata; Mammalia; Rodentia; Muridae.
UGGAAGGAACAUGAUUUAUUGGGGUCUUUC